Molecule: ribosomal RNA, 598 nt
Filed under: Trichogloea lubrica
Lineage: Eukaryota; Rhodophyta; Florideophyceae; Nemaliales; Liagoraceae
Description: eukaryotic LSU rRNA
Rfam family: Eukaryotic large subunit ribosomal RNA
Source: RNAcentral
AACAACUCACCUGCCGAAUGAAUUAGCCCUGAAAAUGGAUGGCGCUGAAGCGGGCAGCCGACACCGCGCCGUUCCGGCGAGACGAUGCCGGGAUGAGUAGGAGGGCGUGGCGGUCAGUGACGCAGGCGAGGGUGCAGACCCCGCUGAAACGGCCGCUAGUGCAGAUCUUGGUGGUAGUAGCAAAUAUUCAAGCGAGAUCCUUGAAGGGCGAAGCGGGGAAGGGUUCCACGCAAACAUUGAUUGGGCGUGGGUGAGUCGUUCCUAAGCCGAGUGGCAAUUGCUAAGUAGCGGCGAAAGGGAAGCGGGUUAAAAUUCCCGCACACGGAUAUGGAGGCGGCGACGCAAGCAGAGGCAAAUACGCUGGCGAGGGCGCUGGGCAGAGUUGUCUUUUCUGUUUGACCGGCAUCGCGCUGUGUGGAAUCCGCUUAUCGGGAGAAACACGCGCGGGGAGGGGCAGAGCGUCAGGUCUUUUCUGGCGUCCGGCUCGCCCUCGACGGCCCUUGAAAAUUUGCCCGCGAACUUUAAAAUUUCAUGCUGUGACGUACCGAUAACCGCAUCAGGUCCCCAAGGUGAACAGCCUCUGCUCAAUAUGAACAAU